GCUUAACUUUCUUGAACGAAAUAGAAGAAGAGGGAAAAAAAAGCUUAAUUUUUGAAAAGGUAUGAAAAUAAGAAAAGGUGUAAGUGGCAGAAUUACCACGGAGGAGCUAAAAGCUAAAAGACAUUUUAAGACAAUAGAUGCAGAAAGUAGAGUGAGUUGAACAAUGGCUCAUGUGAGACCUCAUAGCUAAAAUUAGUGGAAAACAAACGUCUUCAGACAGCUACUUUGCAAAGGAAAAAGAAGAAGGCCCAAUGAUGAGACAGAAGAAGUGCCUAUGACUGCUGAGAAAAAAGAAGCUACAUGUAGGGAGACUGACAGUGUUGAAGUUGGCCUGGAGCUGUGGGGACGGCGAGUGGACAACUGCUGGAGACUGCAAAUGAUGGUGGCCCUGAAGUACGUUACCUUUGUGAGUUACGGAGUAGACUAGGUAUAAGGGAGACACUUUGGCUGGCAAUUAUUCAUUGUAUAAUUGUAUUUCUGUGUAAUACCCUCCCCCCGGUCAGUAAAAUAGUGUCUUACAUGAAACCGGUCUGGUGAAAAAAAGGUUUGGGACCACUGGUCUACAUGUGUGAGCCAUUUGGUGUAGAUGGGAAUAAGUAUGUCAAAGUUAUGUGGAAUGCCCUGUUUUUGUUUUUUUGAAAGGGCUAAACUGUCAACUCCCGAAUACCACUGGCAGAGUACCAGUAUCCAGAUUUCUUUACAAGAGAUAUACAUACGGUGUGCCUAGACUCCACCGCCACCGACAGUUCGCUACCGUCGACAACGUAGAAGUCAUGGAGAUGCACCAGGACUUACAGCUUCUCUGUUAUUUCUGCUUGGACAGCGCGGUGCUGCGAUACCAGCAGUGCUUCUGAAGUGUAGGCAGAAGUGUAUUCAGGAAGCUGGGCAACUGGUGCAGAAGUCCCAAGCAGCCGGCAGGGAGGUGGCGUGGCUUCGCAGCACUGUAACCCAAAAGCAGAAGUAUAUUCAAUUGAAGUAUACGGACAGUGAGUGUGGGGAAAAACACUUCAUUUAACAGUAUGGUUAUUGUGGCUAAUUGCAGAUGUGAUGCAGAAAUGCUCAGUGGUGGAAGGUGGUUAAGGAUGGUAAGUUUAAAUGUGGUAGUUUGGUAGUUUGUUACAUUCGAGGUGUGCCUUUAUAUGUGAGUGUAAUUUAAGUGUAGUAAUUGUUUUCGUGCCUGUGUUUAUGUUAUUUUUUGCAAGAGGAAAACGUGUGGAAGCUGCUGAAAAAUAAAAUGUUUUAGUUUUUGGUUGU
Long non-coding RNA from Acanthopagrus latus (yellowfin seabream), 1254 nucleotides. RefSeq lists it as uncharacterized. The record is from RefSeq and is a predicted model, not a curated record. The transcript has 3 exons. Lineage: Eukaryota; Metazoa; Chordata; Actinopteri; Spariformes; Sparidae.